Molecule: RNase P RNA, 401 nt
Filed under: Tumebacillus algifaecis
Lineage: Bacteria; Bacillati; Bacillota; Bacilli; Caryophanales; Alicyclobacillaceae
Description: Bacterial RNase P class B
Rfam family: Bacterial RNase P class B
About the family: Ribonuclease P (RNase P) is a ubiquitous endoribonuclease, found in archaea, bacteria and eukarya as well as chloroplasts and mitochondria. Its best characterised activity is the generation of mature 5'-ends of tRNAs by cleaving the 5'-leader elements of precursor-tRNAs. Cellular RNase Ps are ribonucleoproteins.
Source: Rfam by way of RNAcentral
ACAUGUGAGGUGAUCGCGCUGCAACUACUUCAGUUGCGGUGAGGAAAGUCCACGCUCGCCCGGGCUGAGAUGCCCGGAGUUCGGAUGCCUGCCCAAUUCAUAAGGCAGGGCAGCCUGCACAAGGCUGACGGCGGAGGAAACGAGCUACGUUCGCUUUGCGGCGAAUAUGCAGAAGUACUCCUGAAAGUGCCACAGUGACGAAGCUUCUCGGAAACGGGAAGAGUGGAACGAGGUAAACCCCAUCUGCGAGAAACCCAAACUUUGGUCGGGGAACUGCUUGGAGGGAAUUUGAACCGAAGAGCGGAUUGGCUUAACAGCCGAUAGUCAAAUGGUUGCCACUCAUAGUGCGAGGCUUUCUCGAGCCGCUUGAAGCACGGAGGAACAGAACGUGGCUUACAACA